RNAcentral lists this ribosomal RNA (393 nucleotides) under uncultured bacterium. RNAcentral describes it as "partial 16S ribosomal RNA". It matches the Rfam family "Bacterial small subunit ribosomal RNA", at positions 523 to 918 of the family's 1533-position model. The record is from RNAcentral.
AUACGGAGGAUCCGAGCGUUAUCCGGAUUUAUUGGGUUUAAAGGGAGCGUAGGCGGACGCUUAAGUCAGUUGUGAAAGUUUGCGGCUCAACCGUAAAAUUGCAGUUGAUACUGGGUGUCUUGAGUACAGUAGAGGCAGGCGGAAUUCGGGGUGUAGGGGUGGAAUGCUUAGAUAUCACGAAGAACUCCGAUUGCGAAGGCAGCCUGCUGGACUGUAACUGACGCUGAUGCUCGAAAGUGUGGGUAUCAAACAGGAUUAGAUACCCUGGUAGUCCACACAGUAAACGAUGAAUACUCGCUGUUUGCGAUAUACAGUAAGCGGCCAAGCGAAAGCGUUAAGUAUUCCACCUGGGGAGUACGCCGGCAACGGUGAAACUCAAAUGAAUUGACGGGG